AUGAACAUGGACAAACUGAGGGUUGCCCGCGCUAACGGCAAGCGCGCGUUCACCAGGAUCAACAGGAAUCUUCUGAAGCAGAUCGCUGAUGAAGCGGAACCUGGUCUGGUUCAGGAUUGCUGGAAGGAGCUGCAGGAAGCAUGGUCAGACGUUGAGUCCAAGCACAACGAGUAUGUAUCGCUUCUGACCUCAGAAGAAGAGAUGGAUGGUGAAGAGCCGUGGAUAUCAGAGGUGUACGACAGUUUCUCCAACUCCAAGAAGACGUUCUUCAACUUCAUGAAGAACUGCUCCAAGGCUGUGAAGGAAGAACAAACUUCAGUCGACACAGCAAGCAUCAAGCGACCAGACAUCCAAAAACUGAAGAUGCCUCUGUUCUCGGGGUCACAGGAUAACGUCAUCUCCUUCAACGACUUCUUGAACAUGUUCGACGACCUCAUCGGAAACAACAGCGCCUACAGCAACACGGCGAAACUGAUGUAUCUGAAGAGUUACUUAAGAGGAAAUGCCUUGGACACAAUCAAGCACCUGUCGAACGACGAGAAGAGCUACGAGCUGGCCAGAGUGUUCCUCAAGGAAGAGUACUUGGACAAUGAUAUCGUGGUUGAAGAGCACAUCAGGAGGCUGCACGAACUCACUUCACCGCCAGCAAAGGACUUUACCGCUCUACGGUCGUUCUUCAACACAGCACGUACCUCAGUGUAUGAAUUGAAGGCAUUUGGCUUCGAUGCUCUUCAGGACGACACUCUCGGCAGCAAGAUCGUCAGCUACAUGAUCUGUCAGAAACUCCCGACGAACUUCAAGUCGAAGCUGAGCACCACCCUGCAGACGGACUUCCCCUCAACGAGAGAGUUGCUGGAGAACUACAACACGAUCAUCAAGUCACUGAUGAAGACAUCAACACCAGCGAGACAGCUGGUUGACAUCAUGGCAUCUGAAGACACCAUCCAUCAGCAUGACGCUCCCGUCGAGAAGGUACUGGGAUACUUCUACGACUCCAAGCAAGAUGUAGUAUCACUGGCCGACUUCAGCUUCGAAGAGCGACCUCAGGGAAUCACGAAGAGGCAGCUGCUGAGUAAUAUCAGCAAGGUCUUCGAUCCUCUAUCUCUGGCCCUACCUGUGACCAUCCGAGGACGGCUUCUCAUGAAGCAGGUCUGGAAGGACGGCACGGCGUGGGACGAAGAAGUAACGCCGGAGGUAUACAGAGACUGGAAGCUGCUGAAGAAUGAUCUCAACUCUCUGCGUGAAAAAAAGUUUCCCAGGAAGACUGGUGACACGGAGAUCGGACAGCCGACCGAGCUUCACCUCUUCUGCGACGGAAGCAAGGCGUGCUACGGGUUCGCCUGUUACGUGAAGCAGGAGAACUCCGAACCACAGCUAGUCUUCGCGAAAAGCAAACUCGCACCCGACGACAAGAGCAUCCCGCAGCUGGAACUGCUUGCAGUUUUCCUUGCACUGAAGUGUCUUCCGCUCAUACUCGACUCAAUCAAGAUGACUGUCGAUCACUUGCGACUCUGGAGUGACGCCCAGGUUGUCCUCGAGUGGUUGAUGUCAGGCUGCAAGUCCAAGAGCAGGUUCACCUCCAAUCGCCUGGAAGACAUAACAUCGAUGAAGCUGAAGCUGCAAGAACAAUACAACUGUGACAUCUCGCAUCACUACGUGGCUACAACCUCCAACGUGGCUGACAUGCUGACACGGGGAUUGACAGCGAAAGAGUUUGUCAAGAACAACAACGACUUCAAGACCAGUACAAGAAGAUGUGGUACAGCGAGUACCUGCUGGGACUCCGUGAAACCACCCGUGACAUCUUCCAAACUGACUGGAAAGACAAGAUCUCGGUCGGUGACAUCGUCCUCAUUAGCACAAAGAACAGACCAAGGAUGUUCUGGCUCAUGGGCAGAGUUCUGCAACUACUCCAUGGAGAUGACGGAAGGGUUCGUCAGGUUCUCCUGAAGACCAGCGCAGGGCGAACAGAGAGGUACUCAGUAGCUCACCUCUACCCACUAGAGAUCCAGAGCACACACACAGGUCGAGACGUCACUGAGGAUAACUCCCGACAGGAUGCUGAACCAGCCCGUGAGGAUAAAGGCGCAGCAGCACAGCAAGAGCAAGCUCCAAGACGCCCAACGCGGCAGGCAGCAAUCCGGCAAGCUGAUCUCGUCAAGUCUCUGGUACGAGACGGAAGAAUAUAGCCGACAUGUUUCACCAACAUACCUGAUGCUAAACUCUGUUUAGCAUCUGUCAGCGGGAGGGUGUGCAAAUUCAUCAGAAUAUCGUCAUAAACAAUUAUACAUGCACAUUGCACAGGCAGCUUGCACUCAUUCCUAAGCAUUAUCCUCAUUCCUCAUACUACAAACAUAACCGGCUUGACCUCGCCCCUCCCCCUCCCCUGUUGAGCGUUCGGGCCGGGCCGGGCUGGGCGGGGCAGCGGUGAACCGCCGAGCUGGCAGGCUGCCAAUGCCUCGGGGGCUUGACCGGCCGAGGUCGCCACGGACGGGCGGACGGGGCGGGCGGCCCAGUCGUCUGCCGGAGUGAGUGCUGCCGUGAGCUGCCGUGUGCGCGCCAGUCGCAAGUAUCUACCACGGACGUUCUACAUACACCGUGUGGAGAACUACCUAAGACGAUCUACAAUUAUCUACUUCGACCGACACAGCCAAACAGACGUUUUGUCGGCAGUGAAGGACAUAUUCACAGAGGCCAACUUUCAAGGGCAUCAAUUUCUACACCCAGCUGAAGACGGUGACGCAGCUCUGGCGUGCCGAUGACGUCACGCACUCCAAGGCCGCCACCACGAUGCCAGUGAUGCGCUAAGCAGCUCCGCUGGCACCGCAGGGCUCGCGCGACACGGCUGGCAACGGGCGCGGCAAAACAACCGGUCGGUAGCCGCGCGCCGCCAGCUGCACAGCAUUGACGCCCGUACAGCUCCAGUGAUUGGAUUUGGACAGUGGACUGGGACUCCAGUUCGUCAUGGCUUUGUUGUGGCGGCGUUUGUCAGUCAGCGGUUAGCGGAGCGGCGUACCGUCGGGGCGGGUGAUGGUCGAUCCGCUCCAGAGCAGGCCGGCGCCGCGCCGUUAUUGAAAUUCAGCACGAAAAAAAGCAUGGUCCUAAAAGAGCAUGACCCAACCUGACCUAACUUAACCAAACCUAGUGAAGCCAUGUGGCCCCGUACCCAUGCUCCUUUCGUGUUUUAUUUCAAUAUACGGCCGGCGCGGCUGUCGUAUAAAGCUCCAUCUGACGGUCCAUGUGCAAUAUGUAUGUACGUAAACUGAUACAAUACACCCGGGGCGAGCAUUGAUA
Molecule: unclassified non-coding RNA, 3294 nt
Filed under: Amphibalanus amphitrite
Lineage: Eukaryota; Metazoa; Arthropoda; Thecostraca; Balanomorpha; Balanidae
Description: probable methylmalonate-semialdehyde dehydrogenase [acylating], mitochondrial, transcript variant X2
Source: RNAcentral